UCGAGAAUAACUCACAAUGGGGGCGACCCUGAUGGUGCAACGCCGCGUGGAGGAUGACGGUCUUCGGAUUGUAAACUCCUGUCAUCUGGGAGUAAGACCUGGCUGUGAAUAGCAGACAGGGUUGAUAGUACCAGAAGAGGAAGGGACGGCUAACUUCGUGCCAGCAGCCGCGGUAAUACGAAGGUCUCAAGCGUUGUUCGGAAUCACUGGGCGUAGAGGGAGCGUAGGCGGCGUGGUAAGUCAGAUGUGAAAUCCCGGGGCUCAACCCCGGAACUGCAUCCGAUACUGCCAUGCUAGAGGAUUGGAGAGGUAGCUGGAAUUCUUGGUGUAGCAGUGAAAUGCGUAGAGAUCAAGAGGAACACUCGUGGCGAAAGCGAGCUACUGGACAAUUCCUGACGCUGAGGCUCGAAGGCUAGGGUAGCGAAAGGGAUUAGAUACCCCUGUAGUCCUAGCAGUAAACGGUGCACGCUUGGU
Molecule: ribosomal RNA, 474 nt
Filed under: uncultured Verrucomicrobiota bacterium
Lineage: Bacteria; Pseudomonadati; Verrucomicrobiota
Description: bacterial SSU rRNA
Rfam family: Bacterial small subunit ribosomal RNA
Source: RNAcentral